Molecule: ribosomal RNA, 572 nt
Filed under: Limosilactobacillus fermentum
Lineage: Bacteria; Bacillati; Bacillota; Bacilli; Lactobacillales; Lactobacillaceae
Description: bacterial SSU rRNA
Rfam family: Bacterial small subunit ribosomal RNA
Source: RNAcentral
AUACAUGCAAGUCGAACGCGUUGGCCCAAUUGAUUGAUGGUGCUUGCACCUGAUUGAUUUUGGUCGCCAACGAGUGGCGGACGGGUGAGUAACACGUAGGUAACCUGCCCAGAAGCGGGGGACAACAUUUGGAAACAGAUGCUAAUACCGCAUAACAGCGUUGUUCGCAUGAACAACGCUUAAAAGAUGGCUUCUCGCUAUCACUUCUGGAUGGACCUGCGGUGCAUUAGCUUGUUGGUGGGGUAACGGCCUACCAAGGCGAUGAUGCAUAGCCGAGUUGAGAGACUGAUCGGCCACAAUGGGACUGAGACACGGCCCAUACUCCUACGGGAGGCAGCAGUAGGGAAUCUUCCACAAUGGGCGCAAGCCUGAUGGAGCAACACCGCGUGAGUGAAGAAGGGUUUCGGCUCGUAAAGCUCUGUUGUUAAAGAAGAACACGUAUGAGAGUAACUGUUCAUACGUUGACGGUAUUUAACCAGAAAGUCACGGCUAACUACGUGCCAGCAGCCGCGGUAAUACGUACGUGGCAAGCGUUAUCCGGAUUUAUUGGGCGUAAAGAGAGUGCAGGCGGU